RNAcentral lists this ribosomal RNA (114 nucleotides) under Acanthosepion pharaonis. Lineage: Eukaryota; Metazoa; Mollusca; Cephalopoda; Sepiida; Sepiidae. The record is from RNAcentral.
UUACGGCCAUAUCACGUUGAACACACCGGUUCUCGUCCGAUCACCGAAGUUAAGCAACGUCGAGCCUGGUCAGUACUUAGAUGGGUGACCGCUUGGGAAUACCAGGUGCUGUAA